This 389-nucleotide ribosomal RNA is filed under the name uncultured bacterium. RNAcentral describes it as "bacterial SSU rRNA". It matches the Rfam family "Bacterial small subunit ribosomal RNA", at positions 28 to 420 of the family's 1533-position model. The record is from RNAcentral.
GACGAACGCUGGCGGCGUGCUUAACACAUGCAAGUCGAACGGAAAGGCCCUUUCGGGGGUACUCGAGUGGCGAACGGGUGAGUAACACGUGGGUGAUCUGCCCUGCACUUCGGGAUAAGCUUGGGAAACUGGGUCUAAUACCGGAUAGGACUACGGACUGCAUGGUCUGUGGUGGAAAGCUUUUGCGGUGUGGGAUGGGCCCGCGGCCUAUCAGCUUGUUGGUGGGGUGAUGGCCUACCAAGGCGACGACGGGUAGCCGGCCUGAGAGGGUGUCCGGCCACACUGGGACUGAGAUACGGCCCAGACUCCUACGGGAGGCAGCAGUGGGGAAUAUUGCACAAUGGGCGCAAGCCUGAUGCAGCGACGCCGCGUGGGGAUGACGGCCUCGG